CUUCAUUUUAUAGGGUGCUCAAAUAGAAGUUUAAGAAUGUGCAAAGGCUUGCCGGAGCUCGCACAAUUGUUGAGUGAGCGGCAGCGGCCUCAGGAAAAGAACUCGAAUGUCUUCCAUAACUCUGUCCGGUACUUUUGCCCUGAUCAAUAAAACCGGUACACCAAGCAACAAGCAUUAAAGUCAAACGCGAGGGGCUGUGUUAGGGAUGCCUUAAACUCCCUGGGUUGAAGGUGCAACGGGAGCAGCAAGAAAUGACAAGGAAAUGGGAUGGCGGUUUUAACGAGCAUGCGCCUCGCGCUUCUGUUCCGUUCUUGAGAGCUUCAAGAACAGCAGCAGCUGUCAACCUCCUCUUCGCCUGGGGUAUCUGGUCUGCUAAUGAGGCAGCUCCCGAGAGCCAAGGAGCCGCAGCCCUGGCUGUGAAUGACUCUGGUGCAGGCGGCGUGAUUAAUGACUGAGGGUCAACAGAUGUCUCCCUUCUCCCUGGAUCCUCCAGUGCACACAGAGCCAGCUGAAGCUGAAGGGACAGGAGAACACUGGGGCCCCAAGGAACACAGGGACCAAGCACCAAGGGAUCUGGGCAACUCCAGCUUUCUCUCCGCAACAGCAAGGGCUGGGAUGCCUCUCCUGCUCUCAUUUUAAACUUAAGGCGAGGAAAGGAAAACCAUGGACCAGGAUUCUCAACUCAGUCGGGGUCGAUGCCACCAGAAGUGUGGGCUUCAAUCGUCACCAUUGCGAGACUAAGAAGUUUGUGUUCACACUGCUGAGCAAGACUCAGGACCACGGGGUAGCGAAUGGUCAACUCAUAAGGAGGCAGACUCGCCGUGGAUUCCAACAGAUGGCUGUCAGUGGCUUUGCAAGGGAACUUUCUCCAGAGCUGUUUUACAUGAUGGUUCCUACAGAUUCCUACAAUUCUUAGGUAGAGUUGAUGUAGCCUGCAGAUAUUGACACUGCUUCAGAGGUUGGGACAGAUCCUGCCUGAGUUUUAAAGCAAUGAAUAAACUUGGAAACAAGAGGAUUUGCAUAGUGUCUGAUAAAUAAAUAUUCAUGUUUUUAGCA
Molecule: long non-coding RNA, 1056 nt
Organism: Peromyscus leucopus (white-footed mouse)
Lineage: Eukaryota; Metazoa; Chordata; Mammalia; Rodentia; Cricetidae
Exons: 4
Source: RefSeq, a predicted model, not a curated record